CAGGUCACUCCUACGGGAGGCAGCAGUAGGGAAUCUUGCGCAAUGGGCGAAAGCCUGACGCAGCCAUGCCGCGUGAAUGAUGAAGGUCUUAGGAUUGUAAAAUUCUUUCACCGGGGAAGAUAAUGACGGUACCCGGAGAAGAAGCCCCGGCUAACUUCGUGCCAGCAGCCGCGGUAAUACGAAGGGGGCUAGCGUUGCUCGGAAUUACUGGGCGUAAAGGGCGCGUAGGCGGACAGUUUAGUCAGAGGUGAAAGCCCAGGGCUCAACCUUGGAAUUGCCUUUGAUACUGGCUGUCUUGAGUUCGGGAGAGGUGAGUGGAAUGCCGAGUGUAGAGGUGAAAUUCGUAGAUAUUCGGCGGAACACCAGUGGCGAAGGCGACUCACUGGCCCGAUACUGACGCUGAGGCGCGAAAGCGUGGGGAGCAAACAGGAUUAGAUACCCUGGUAGUCCACGCUGUAAACGAUGAGUGCUAGUUGUCGGCAUGCAUGCAUGUCGGUGACGCAGCUAACGCAUUAAGCACUCCGCCUGGGGAGUACGGUCGCAAGAUUAAAACUCAAAGGAAUUGACG
Molecule: ribosomal RNA, 568 nt
Filed under: uncultured Phenylobacterium sp.
Lineage: Bacteria; Pseudomonadati; Pseudomonadota; Alphaproteobacteria; Caulobacterales; Caulobacteraceae
Description: bacterial SSU rRNA
Rfam family: Bacterial small subunit ribosomal RNA
Source: RNAcentral